UACGUAGGUGGCAAGCGUUGUCCGGAUUUACUGGGCGUAAAGAGCGCGCAGGCGGUCGUUCAAGUCGCGUGUGAAAGCCCCCCGGCUCAACUGGGGAGGGUCACGCGAUACUGAUCGACUCGAAGGCAGGAGAGGGAAGUGGAAUUCCCGGUGUAGUGGUGAAAUGCGCAGAUAUCAGGAAGAACACCCGUGGCGAAGGCGGCUCACUGGCCCGAUACUGACGCUGAGGCACGAAAGCGUGGGGAGCAAACAGG
RNAcentral lists this ribosomal RNA (254 nucleotides) under uncultured bacterium. RNAcentral's name for it is "partial 16S ribosomal RNA". It matches the Rfam family "Bacterial small subunit ribosomal RNA", at positions 524 to 776 of the family's 1533-position model. The record is from RNAcentral.